UAUGAUAACUUAUUAAACCGUUUCGAAGGGGAUGAAAUCAAUCAUGGGUACGAUCGUCUGUCAGCAAUGUGAAAACACAAUUGACCACUUCGAAGAUGAAAAAGUGACAACUCUUUACGCUAAAUGCUGUGAUUCUUGUGAGCAUGAAGAAGUAGAAAAAUAAUUUUCACAUUAUUAAAUUGUUA
This 185-nucleotide small RNA is filed under the name Schinkia azotoformans LMG 9581. RNAcentral describes it as "Bacillus azotoformans LMG 9581 SR1 sRNA". It matches the Rfam family "SR1 sRNA". Lineage: Bacteria; Bacillati; Bacillota; Bacilli; Caryophanales; Bacillaceae. The record is from Rfam by way of RNAcentral.